This 363-nucleotide long non-coding RNA is filed under the name Hordeum vulgare. Its description in RNAcentral is "long non-coding RNA (HVUL_LNC011146)". Lineage: Eukaryota; Viridiplantae; Streptophyta; Magnoliopsida; Poales; Poaceae. The record is from RNAcentral.
CUCAUUCCGUAAUACAAGAUCCCGUGACUUACACUUAGUCACUUUGCUUGCAAGGCUUGUGUGUGAUAUUCUAUUACCGAGUGGACCCUGAGAUACCUCUUCGUCACACGGAGUGACAAAUCCAAGUCUUGAUCCAUACUAACUCAACGGACACCUUCGGAGAUACCUGUAGAGCACCUUUAUAGUCACCUAGUUACAUUGCGAUGUUUGAUACACACAAGGUAUUCCUCAGGUGCUAGUGAGUUAUAUGAUCUCAUGGUCAUAGGAAUAAAUACUUGACACGCAGAAAACAAUAGCAAUAAAAUGACACGACCAAUAUGCUACGUUCAUAGUUUGGGUCUAGUCCAUCACAUGAUUCUCCUA